Molecule: ribosomal RNA, 610 nt
Filed under: uncultured bacterium
Lineage: Bacteria
Description: bacterial SSU rRNA
Rfam family: Bacterial small subunit ribosomal RNA
Source: RNAcentral
AUGCAAGUCGAGCGAGAAAGUAUCUUCGGAUAUGAGUAGAGCGGCGGACGGGUGAGUAACGCGUAGGAAUCUACCUAGUAGAAGGGGAUAGCCCGGGGAAACUCGGAUUAAUACCGUAUACCUCCUAAGGGAGAAAGAGGGCCUCUCUUGAUGCUCUCGCUAUUAGAUGAGCCUGCGUAAGAUUAGCUUGUUGGUGAGGUAAUGGCUUACCAAGGCUACGAUUCUUUAGCUGGUCUGAGAGGACGAUCAGCCACAUUGGGACUGAGACACGGCCCAGACUCCUACGGGAGGCAGCAGUGGGGAAUAUUGGACAAUGGGCGCAAGCCUGAUCCAGCCAUACCGCGUGUGUGAAGAAGGCCUUCGGGUUGUAAAGCACUUUAAGCAGGGAGAAAAAGUUAUAAGUUAAUACCUUAUAACCGUGAUGUUACCUGCAGAAUAAGCACCGGCUAAUUCCGUGCCAGCAGCCGCGGUAAUACGGAAGGUGCAAGCGUUAAUCGGAAUUACUGGGCGUAAAGCGCGCGUAGGUGGUUUGUUAAGUUGGAUGUGAAAGCCCUGGGCUCAACCUAGGAACUGCAUCCAAAACUAACUCACUAGAGUACGAUAGAGGGAG